UGGGGAAUUUUGCACAAUGGGGGAAACCCUGAUGCAGCGACGUCGCGUGAUUUAGAAGGCCUUCGGGUUGUAAAAAUCUUUUUUACGGGAUGAAAAUGACAGUACCGUAAGAAUAAGGUCCGGCUAAAUACGUGCCAGCAGCCGCGGUAAUACGUAUGGACCGAGCGUUGUCCGGAUUUAUUGGGCGUAAAGCGAGCGCAGGCGGUCAAUUAAGUCUGAUGUGAAAGCCCCCGGCUCAACCGGGGAGGGUCAUUGGAAACUGGUUGACUUGAGUGCAGAAGAGGAGAGUGGAAUUCCAUGUGUAGCGGUGAAAUGCGUAGAUAUAUGGAGGAACACCAGUGGCGAAGGCGACUCUCUGGUCUGUAACUGACGCUGAGGCUCGAAAGCGUGGGUAGCAAACAGG
Molecule: ribosomal RNA, 403 nt
Filed under: Bacteroidota bacterium
Lineage: Bacteria; Pseudomonadati; Bacteroidota
Description: Bacteroidetes bacterium partial 16S ribosomal RNA
Rfam family: Bacterial small subunit ribosomal RNA
Source: RNAcentral